GACGGACGGUGCAAGCGUUGCUCGGAAUCACUGGGCGUAAAGAGCGCGCAGGCGGUCGUACAAGUCGCGUGUGAAAGCCCCCGGCUCAACUGGGGAGGGUCACGCGAUACUGUUCGACUCGAAGGCAGGAGAGGGAAGUGGAAUUCCCGGUGUAGUGGUGAAAUGCGUAGAUAUCGGGAGGAACACCAGUGGCGAAGGCGACUUCCUGGCCUGUUCUUGACGCUGAGGCGCGAAAGCUAGGGUAGCAAACGGG
This 253-nucleotide ribosomal RNA is filed under the name uncultured bacterium. Its description in RNAcentral is "partial 16S ribosomal RNA". It matches the Rfam family "Bacterial small subunit ribosomal RNA", at positions 524 to 776 of the family's 1533-position model. The record is from RNAcentral.